Molecule: small RNA, 254 nt
Filed under: Arabidopsis thaliana (thale cress)
Lineage: Eukaryota; Viridiplantae; Streptophyta; Magnoliopsida; Brassicales; Brassicaceae
Description: ATSL017140
Source: RNAcentral
UUUAAAAAUUAAUAUGAUUAUGUGGUAAAUUUUUAUGAAGAAAUAUCAUCAAACUAGAUUUUAACCCGCGGUAUACCGCGGGACGAUUUAUUUUUAAAAGUAAUAUAUAUUAAAACUUGCAAAUUUUAUUUUUACAAAAUAUUUAUAUUUUACAGUUUAUAAUUGUUAUUAAGUAACGCUAUACCACGAAUUCAUGAGACAAUUGUUAAAAAAACUGAAGUUUUGACCCCUAUUAAAACAGCAUAAUUUAUAAU